CCAUGCGGGGUGGGAGGGCUUGACCCUGUUUGCGUCUUUCUCCCCCUCUCCUUUUUCUUCUGUUCUCCUUUCUGCGCAGCAGUGCUGUGAUGUAGAUACAGUUGAUAGUCUUCCGGGGAGGGGGGUGUCUCCAGAUUCCUUGCAAUUGCAGCACUACAAGGGAUGUAACCCUUCGGGUUAAAUGGUCGCCUGAGGGUGGAUUCUAGGCCCGUUAUGCCCUUGGGUGCGUUUUCCUUUUCCUCAAACAGCCCUACCUAGGUUCCGUCCAGAAAUCUCCAGGCACUUUGUGACCCAAAGUUGUUAACCCUAGAGGCUUGUUAACCCUAUUGCUCAGAACGUGGCUGGCCCAAGUUCUUCCAGGAAGUUUCAUAGCACGAUAGCCAGGUAGCUGCUGUUUCUUUUAGGUUAAUUGUGACUUUUAAAAAGCUAGGGUCUGUGUUCAAAUCUCCCUUUCAGCCACAAAGCUCAUAGUCUACUUUCAUCUAAACCAGGAGACUGCAACCUGCGACUCUCCAGAUAUUCAUGGACUACAAUUCCCACCAGCCCCUGCCAGCAUGGCCAAUUAACCAUGCUGGCAGGGGCUGAUGGGAUUUGUAGUCCAUGAAUGUCUGGAGAGCCGCAGGUUGCAGACCCCUGGUCUAAACCUUUUCACAGGGCAGUUGUUAGGGCAAAAUGAUCUUGUGAAGGACAUGUAUGGUGACCUACAUUUAUUUGGGGGUAGGAUACUUAAGGCUGUUCAGUGAGAUUUAGAUGUGAGAGAGGAAGAAUAAGAAAUUAGUAUUCAAGAUAUAGACUUGUUUUCAGACCUUUUGUUCCUUUGUUGCAUUCCUUCCCUAAGACCCACCCCAAAAAUCAAUGUUAGGUAGGGUGUACUGUAAAGCCAUAUUUUCCUCACUGCUGCAGAGAUGAGGUUCUAAACUGUUUGGAUGCUUUACGGUGCGUUCCUUACAAAUUAACAUUUCACUUCUUCUUGCAGUGGGAGUGUUUGAAAAAUCUCAAUUGCCUGUUUCUGGAAAGGUCGCUUGCCCCACAGAUGAGCAUGUCUUCUAGUUUUGAACUUCAAGUAUCCAGGUUGAUGGAGUCAUCCUUCACUCCUGUAGCGUCUGUCUGUUUCAUUCUGGAGGCUCAAGUGGUGUUACUAUGUCAUCCUACGAACUUCACAACCCACUUGGAAUCUGGAACCUGAACAAUUGCUGUCAUCCUAGCUGUGUUAUUAUGUGAAGGAUCUGGCUUCUGGGUAUCAUAAUUGCCACCGUUCCUCUGCUUUGGCUGUGCCAGAUAUGAAAAGGCAGAUUUAAAGCAAUGCCAGAGACUUUUCAGAUCAUUUUAAAGAAAACCUGGAAGGCAUUUAGAAGACUGGCUUUUAAGAACUUGAUCUUUUUUAUCGUGCAUCAUCACAGAAAGGUGUUUGCAAGUCAACGAGCUAUAGUCUUUCACUGAAAGAUGACAGUAAAGUUCUAGAAUGCUCCGCUUGGGUCCUAGUGCCUACCUAUUCUCCAUUCUGGAAUAAAGAAAGUCAAAGAAAUGGUGGAUUACUAGUACACUUCGGCUGUCAUCUUUCAGUAGAAAAGAGUAUAGAGAAUUGAAAGUGUUAAGCAGCAUGAUGACUGCUAGCUGGCAUUUACUGGAGGCGGCAGCUGCAUUUAAGAGAAGCUACAGCUUUCAGCUGGGUAGCCAUGAUGGUCUGCAGGGUGUGAUGAGACUUCUUGGUUUUUGUUGCAGCAGAUGCACUUUUGUGAACUGCUGCUUGUUUUCAUGCAUUGCUUGCCUUCAUGUACUCAUUAAAAAUGCCUGUGUUACAAUAAGCUUCUUAAGUUUUUACAGUGCUGCUAAGACCAUAAUUUUCAGCAUCAAUAGUACAUUUUGAGACUCAGCUUCAAAGUUGAAUUGUGUCACUCCAAGAUGGUUGGGAUGUGGCCUAGAUUGCUGAAUCCUGAAAAAUCAAUUUUGUGUGUCUGAAACCAAGCCAGUUUUUAUGUUCUAGCUAUUUAUAUUCAGCCAUUUCUCUCCCCACUCCUCUUUUGACUUCCUGUUGUCUCUCAAUCCCUGGUUGGAUAACAAUAAAGUUUGUUUUUCUGUCUUGUCUUUUA
Molecule: long non-coding RNA, 2090 nt
Organism: Sphaerodactylus townsendi
Lineage: Eukaryota; Metazoa; Chordata; Lepidosauria; Squamata; Sphaerodactylidae
Exons: 5
Source: RefSeq, a predicted model, not a curated record